Molecule: ribosomal RNA, 425 nt
Filed under: uncultured bacterium
Lineage: Bacteria
Description: bacterial SSU rRNA
Rfam family: Bacterial small subunit ribosomal RNA
Source: RNAcentral
GUGGGGAAUCUUGCGCAAUGGGCGAAAGCCUGACGCAGCCAUGCCGCGUGAAUGAUGAAGGUCUUAGGAUUGUAAAAUUCUUUCACCGGGGACGAUAAUGACGGUACCCGGAGAAGAAGCUCCGGCUAACUUCGUGCCAGCAGCCGCGGUAAUACGAAGGGGGCUAGCGUUGCUCGGAAUUACUGGGCGUAAAGGGCGCGUAGGCGGACAGCUUAGUCAGAGGUGAAAGCCCAGGGCUCAACCUUGGAAUUGCCUUUGAUACUGGCUGUCUUGAGUUUGGGAGAGGUGAGUGGAACUCCGAGUGUAGAGGUGAAAUUCGUAGAUAUUCGGAAGAACACCAGUGGCGAAGGCGACUCACUGGCCCAAUACUGACGCUGAGGCGCGAAAGCGUGGGGAGCAAACAGGAUUAGAAACCCGUGUAGUCC